RNAcentral lists this ribosomal RNA (465 nucleotides) under Vreelandella stevensii. Its description in RNAcentral is "partial 16S ribosomal RNA". It matches the Rfam family "Bacterial small subunit ribosomal RNA", at positions 338 to 795 of the family's 1533-position model. The record is from RNAcentral. Lineage: Bacteria; Pseudomonadati; Pseudomonadota; Gammaproteobacteria; Oceanospirillales; Halomonadaceae.
CCUACGGGGGGCAGCAGUGGGGAAUAUUGGACAAUGGGGGGAACCCUGAUCCAGCCAUGCCGCGUGUGUGAAGAAGGCCCUCGGGUUGUAAAGCACUUUCAAUGAGGAAGAACGCCUGGUGGUGAAUACCCAUCAGGAAAGACAUCACUCACAGAAGAAGCACCGGCUAACUCCGUGCCAGCAGCCGCGGUAAUACGGAGGGUGCGAGCGUUAAUCGGAAUUACUGGGCGUAAAGCGCGCGUAGGUGGCUUGAUAAGCCGGUUGUGAAAGCCCCGGGCUCAACCUGGGAACGGCAUCCGGAACUGUCAAGCUAGAGUGCAGGAGAGGAAGGUAGAAUUCCCGGUGUAGCGGUGAAAUGCGUAGAGAUCGGGAGGAAUACCAGUGGCGAAGGCGGCCUUCUGGACUGACACUGACACUGAGGUGCGAAAGCGUGGGUAGCAAACAGGAUUAGAUACCCCGGUAGUC